CCAGCCACCAACAAUAGUGCCCGGUGGUGACCUGGCCAAGGUGUCCAGAGCUGUGUGUAUGUUAUCUAAUACCACAGCUAUAGCUGAAGCUUGGGCACGUCUUAGACCACAAUUUGAUCUUAUGUACGCGAAGAGAGCUUUUGUACACUGGUACGUGGGUGAGGGUAUGGAGGAGGGGGAGUUUCUCUGAGGCCCGCGAGGACCUGGCUGCCCUAGAGAAGGACUACGAGGAAGUUGGUGUUGAUUCUGCUGAUGGUGACGGAGAGUUAGAGGGAGAAGAGUACUGAAGAAGUUAUAUUCGACCUUCCAACACCUGCUGCCACUGUUCAUCUAGCUGGAAUAUAUACAAACCCAGGAGUUGCUGGAUUGUUGUGGGUCGCAUCCUAGGGAGGACCUAAGAGUACCUUUGGGAAUAAGUCACACUGAUUUGGCUUUGUUGUACUAUUCUGGGGUAAUAACCCUCUGGGUUAAUAAUCCAAAAUCUUCUCCUUCUCCUCUUAAUGUUUUAAUUAACUGGAGAAAUAUUUUUACAUUACGGAAUAUACAGUGACCAAAAGUUUUAAAUUAUAAUUACAUUUAGUUUUAAUAUAUGAUCAUUUCACUUUUUGUCAAUAUCGCAUCAUUGUGUGAAGCCUUCCAGGUUAACUCGCAGUUUGUGUCUUAUUUGGUGGAACUGAAAAUAUAUGAUGGUACACCAUCCUAAAA
Molecule: non-coding RNA, 705 nt
Organism: Cherax quadricarinatus
Lineage: Eukaryota; Metazoa; Arthropoda; Malacostraca; Decapoda; Parastacidae
Source: RefSeq, a predicted model, not a curated record